AUAGGGGAGCCGGAGGGAAACCGAGUCUUAACCGGGCGUUAAGUUGCAGGGUAUAGACCCGAAACCCGGUGAUCUAGCCAUGGGCAGGUUGAAGGUUGGGUAACACUAACUGGAGGACCGAACCGACUAAUGUUGAAAAAUUAGCGGAUGACCUGUGGCUGGGGGUGAAAGGCCAAUCAAACCGGGAGAUAGCUGGUUCUCCCCGAAAGCUAUUUAGGUAGCGCCUCGUGAAUUCAUCUCCGGGGGUAGAGCACUGUUUCGGCUAGGGGGCCAUCCCGGCUUACCAACCCGAUGCAAACUGCGAAUACCGGAGAAUGUUAUCACGGGAGACACACGGCGGGUGCUAACGUCCGUCGUGAAGAGGGAAACAACCCAGACCGCCAGCUAAGGUCCCAAAGUCAUGGUUAAGUGGGAAACGAUGUGGGAAGGCCCAGACAGCCAGGAUGUUGGCUUAGAAGCAGCCAUCAUUUAAAGAAAGCGUAAUAGCUCACUGGUCGAGUCGGCCUGCGCGGAAGAUGUAACGGGGCUAAACCAUGCACCGAAGCUGCGGCAGCGACGCUUAUGCGUUGUUGGGUAGGGGAGCGUUCUGUAAGCCUGUGAAGGUGGCCUGUGAG
Molecule: ribosomal RNA, 614 nt
Filed under: Salmonella enterica subsp. enterica serovar Albany
Lineage: Bacteria; Pseudomonadati; Pseudomonadota; Gammaproteobacteria; Enterobacterales; Enterobacteriaceae
Description: bacterial LSU rRNA
Rfam family: Bacterial large subunit ribosomal RNA
Source: RNAcentral